UUCAAAAAUCAAUCCCAGAUUUUAAGCAGAAUAAUUGAUUAUCCAAAUCGUAUAAUCGAUUAUCUGACAACGUUCAAAAAAUCAUAUUCAGAUUUUACUUUACAUAAUCGAUUAUCAGAUUGUGUAUAAUCGAUUACCAGACAACGUUCAAAAAAUCAUAUGCAGAUUUUACUUAGCAUAAUCGAUUAUCAGAUUGUGUAUAAUCGAUUAUCUUUCAGAGUUUAAAAAUACUUUGGCANN
Molecule: long non-coding RNA, 240 nt
Filed under: Nicotiana benthamiana
Lineage: Eukaryota; Viridiplantae; Streptophyta; Magnoliopsida; Solanales; Solanaceae
Description: long non-coding RNA (NBEN_LNC019384)
Source: RNAcentral